ACCAAGAUGGCUUAUCGGUUCUCCUGGAAGCCUCGAAGAGAAAAGAAUUGUCGAUUAAGCUUAACGGUAACUGUGUGACAUUUUCCGACCAGUUUCGUUGACUAAAAUGCAGAUGUUUCACACCCCUACAUAGGUUUCACACCCAAUCCUAUUUGGGCAGGAAGUUGAGACAGUGUUCACAUACGCCUGUAUGAGGAGAGAAGGAGCAUAAAAAUUCAUGGGAUGUUAACCCAUCAACAUCACACCAGGAGGAGCAGCUUCGUGAACAUCUCAUUCUCAGUGAUGACCAAGCCCGGAAAAAGUCAAAGCUAAAACACUUGCAACCCUCUUCAACCAGAAAUGUGAAGUGGAUGAUGCAUCUUGGCCUUAUCAAGUCCUCACCAUCAUAGAAGACAGCCUUCACCGAGCACAAGUUGGACACAACAAAGGUUAUGAGGCAGGCACCAUUUCACUGUAGCACAAUAAUAAGAUUAUAAUGUUUUGGUAUGAUUGUUAAUGUUUGGUAAUGUAAUGGUAUUUUUAAAUUUGGGGUAAAAUCAAGAGGUUCAUGUGACCUUUUGGAAUUUGCCUAACAGCGUGUUUGGGUGGUAUGAGAAUUAGAAAUCAAAGGAAGGCUUAGAUUGUUUUACUGCAAAGAAGGUACAUUGUAUUUAUGCUUGGACACCAUAGCAACAACCAAAGUCAGUUAUUAAUUUUGCAUAUCAUUUUCACACAGUGGGAUAGAGUUUCUGCUUUGGGACUUCAAACUGGGCACUACUUUGCUCAAAAUUAUACCUGUGUUAAAAAGUGUACUUUUCAUGAGAUACUUCUCAAAGGCAUUUACAAAACAGUUAAUGCAAAUUUUGCAAUGAACUACUGCAGUCAAGCAACUAGCUAGAAUCUUUAAUUUUAACCUGUACCAAGUGCUUUGAAGCAUUUGAUUUGGAAUAUUCCCUCCAACUAAUGGCACAUUCCCAGAAACACCCUUGUAACUAAAGUGUGCCUUUUGACCUGUACUUUAAUUUUGAACAAAGAACAGUACAGCACUGGGACAGGCCUUACAAUUCACCAAGCCUGUUCCAACACUUGACCCCUUUCUCAGCUUUUGCCUCUACAUGGACCGUAUUCCUCCAUUCCCUGCCUAUUCAUGUAUCUGUCAAGAUGCCUGUUACAUCUUGCUGUUGUGUCUGCUUCUACCUCCUCCUUUGGCAGCACAUUCCAAGUAUUUUCCACCACGUGUAAAAAAAAACUUGACUCUCACAUCUCUUUAAACUUUUCCCCUUUUAUCUUAAACCUAUUUCCCAUAUUUCUACCCUGGAAAAAAGACUGAAUAUCCACACCUCUCAUAAUUGUCCCCAGUCUCCAACGUUCAAGUGAAAAUAAACCAAGUUUAUCCAACAACAAAAACAAAGUUCCUGGAAAAGUUCAGCAGGUCUGGCGGCAUCUGUGAAGGAAUAAACACAGUUAAUGUUUCUAGUCCGGUGACCCUCAGAACUGAUGGUGGCUGGGAAAACAUCAGUUUAUAUGCAGAAAAAAAGAGGAGGGGAAUGGGGUUGGGAGUAAACGAUACAAUAGAGCUUAAAGAGAGAGUAGAGCAGUUGGACAGACAAAGAGUUGAUAACUUUCAGGCUGGGAGGGGGAAUAGUUGAUAAUGGGGACUAUUCGUAACUAAUAACAGGUUGUAUGUAAUGGCAAGCUAUGUGGUAACAAGGCCUGGUCUGUGGGGAACGGGACUGGGAUAUGGUAAAGUUUAGGCCCUAAAAUUAUUGAACUUGAUAUUGAGUCCAGAGGGCUGCAGGGUCACUAAGCAGAAAAUGAGGUAUUGUCCUUCUAGCUUGCAUUGAACAUCACUAGAAAACUGCAUGCAAGCCAGAGACAGACAUGUUAGUCAGGGACAGGGUGGUGCGUUAAAGUGGCAGGCAAUGGGUAGUUCAGGGUCUUUUUUAUGUGAGCAGACCGUAGAUGUUCUGUGAAGCAGUCACCUUGUCUAUGCUUUGUUUCCCCAAUGUAAAGGAGACCACAUUGCAAGCAGCGAAUGCAGUAGACUAGAUUCUGGGAAGUGCGGGUGAAGUGCUGCUUCACCUAGAAGGGGCUGCUUGUUUCAGCAACAACAAAAUUACUGUUGACGAGUGAUCACUUUACCAAGUGAUCUAAGUGUCCAUUAAGUCCUAUCUGGCUUGUUGUGCUUGAUGCUGCAAAGUUCUAUCAUGCUGAAGGUUUCAUUUCUUCUCGAGGACCCAUUUGAGGUAAUACUUGGUUCACAUUCAUCGAUCUGAAGGAUGCUAACACUGAAGAAUGGAACAAUGCCAGUACAAAACUCGCCAGACUUUCUCCUAAACAGUUGGAUUGAGAAUGAGAUACCAAGUACUGUAUCCCAAACACAUGCUGCAGGAUCCAUUGGUGCACACAAGUGAUAUUUUUCUAAUUCUCUAACAGGCUAUCCUUGAGUCACUAUAAUCAAAAUGUUUAGUUUGCUGCUAUGGACCUACAUAGAUCUUAUCUCAAGUUAUCUGCUCAUACCCAAGGCUUGAACCAAGUGGUUUGUUUCUGUGUUGUAAAAUUCUAUACUGACUAAUUUGACUAUUAAAAGAGCCCACAACAAGGACAA
Stegostoma tigrinum is the source of this 2587-nucleotide long non-coding RNA. RefSeq lists it as uncharacterized. The transcript has 4 exons. The record is from RefSeq and is a predicted model, not a curated record. NCBI's taxonomy places the organism in Eukaryota, Metazoa, Chordata, Chondrichthyes, Orectolobiformes, Stegostomatidae.